Molecule: non-coding RNA, 734 nt
Organism: Anolis sagrei ordinatus
Lineage: Eukaryota; Metazoa; Chordata; Lepidosauria; Squamata; Anolidae
Source: RefSeq, a predicted model, not a curated record
UGUAAAAAGAUGCUAGAGGAGGCAUGUAGUUACGGAUCCCUGCUUUGACUAGGUUCAUCCUGAUGUCAUUAAACACCAUGAUGUCCUGUUUGAUCACUACAACGCUUAAUCGUGAUUGUUUUGUUUCCUUUCCUUCCAAGUUGAUCAUUUUCAUGGCUUUGGCAGAUGGGAUCUCUCGAGUGAAAACAGGACCGAUUACUCUCCAUACAGAAACUGCUAUCCAUUUUGCAGAGCAGCUGACCAAGGCUAAAUUUACGGUGUCAAAGUCAGAAGAUGAUGGUUCGUCCAAGGAUGCCUACAUUAUUGAGUGCCAAGGAAUUGGAUUGUUAAAUGCCAACUUAUAGGUUCUGCUAAAUUUUUAUUUAAGAAUUACCUCCGCAAUGAAUUGCACUACAUUUCACCUAGACAUUUCGGAAGAGAUAAUGUGAUUAGAAAGUGGUCUGAAUUAAUUCCACUGAAGGAUGUUGGGGUUUCUCAUCUUGGGGAGUCUUCCUUUUUUCUAUGAGAAUGAAACACAGAGAAGUAGCUGAUCGUUACAGAUACUGCUGAGCUGGAAAGCAAUAAUUUCAGCAUUAAAAAUGACUUCUGUGAUUCAGUCAUUCCUAUUUUUUCCCCCAAGCACGGCAAUAGAAUAUACACAAAAGUACAGCAGCCACUGUCUACAUUUGUUUGAAAUUUCUGUAACCUUUUUUUGGACAUGAUUCCACCAAAAUAAAACAAUCUCAGCAAAUGAA